This 1382-nucleotide long non-coding RNA is filed under the name Pongo abelii (Sumatran orangutan). RNAcentral describes it as "lincRNA". Lineage: Eukaryota; Metazoa; Chordata; Mammalia; Primates; Hominidae. The record is from RNAcentral.
GAAGUUUUGGGAGGUGAGGGGUGUGUGUUCACUGUUUUGAUUGUGGUGAUGACUUCACAGGUGUAUACAUAUGUCAAAACUUACCAAAUUGCACACUUUAAACAUGUACAAAUGUAUGUCAAUAAAGCUGUUUUUAAAACAGAGGCUGCCACGAGCAUAGAGGCAAAACAGUCGAUGCCUCCCAGUUUCAAGCUGGUUUGGUCAUCACGGGAGAGCAUUGCUGUCCUCAUCUCACCCACACAGAACCUGGAACCCAAAGGGGUCACGUGCUAGUCUGGGCAGAGCCCAUGGCCAGAUUCUUUCUUCUCUGGAUCCAGCGCUUUCUUUGCAAAGCACUGAGUGUGCUUCCAGGAGCCUACCAGAACCUAUGAGCGUGCCCUGAGCUGAAGGGACAGGGUGUCCCUGCCACCUGAAGGGCCCUCCACAGCAUUUGGAGUCAGAGCUGGCGUGGGAUCCUGGAAAAGCUGAAUGAACGCAGGCUUUGUGUGUGGACGGACCUGGGUACGCGUCCUGGCACCAGCGGGGUCUCAGUGACCACCCCUGUGAAAUGGGGGUAACAACGGUCCCUGCCCCAUGUGACCCUGCCAUGUAAGGUUCAGUCAACCCCACUCGCCCUCCCCUUGCUUGUCCUUCUAGUUUAUGUUCUCCUUAGACUCUGCAAACCAGAGAAGGGACGAGCUGAGGCAGGAGGCCUUGAGCCUUGAGAGUGGAUGGGAGAAGGAGAAUGUGGAGAAAUGGGGCAGCUGUGUUUGCUGAGCACCUCCUGUAGCCCAGUGCUGGACGGAGCACUUUACACGCUCUAUCCCCUUUAAUCCCCGCAACAGCCCCGUGAAGUAUUCACUGUCCUCCCAGCUUCCCUGAGAAGAACAUUGAGGCCUCCCAAGAGCAAGCCACUCAUCCAAGGUCACAGAAAGUAGACAGGGGCAAAGAUAGGCCUUGAACCCAGGCAGCCUGAGUCCCAAGUCACUGUCUUGUGGCUGAAAUUCCCCACCAGUUUUCUGGGGUCUUUGCAUUUCUGAGUCCCGUCCCCACUAGUUGGGAUGCUUUCCCCAGCAGGGAUCCAAGUUCAGAUUCUCUCUGCAACUCCUUGUUACUAAAGCCACCCUAUGAUCCCUCACAUGUGCAGAGCGCUCUACAGUUUACAAAGAACUCUUUCAUUACUACUUACGCCAUGGGUGGUUCCGAAUCCCUUGAAACAAGAGAGGACUGAUGUUAUCCCCGUGUCUACCACGAAGAUGGUAUGGAUCCCUUCCUAGGGAGAAAUGGACAUUGAUGCACACUGGACCAUUUUAUCUGCACAACAAGUAAACAUUAUUAGGCCCAGUUUAUAGAUGUUAAAACUGAGGCCUGGAAGAAUUAAACAGCUUGCCUAAGUUCAUGAA